Molecule: ribosomal RNA, 253 nt
Filed under: uncultured bacterium
Lineage: Bacteria
Description: partial 16S ribosomal RNA
Rfam family: Bacterial small subunit ribosomal RNA
Source: RNAcentral
UACAGAGGGGGCAAGCGUUGUUCGGAAUUACUGGGCGUAAAGGGCGCGUAGGCGGCCUUCUAAGUCGAACGUGAAAUCCCCGGGCUCAACCCGGGAACUGCGUCCGAUACUGGAAGGCUUGAAUCCGGGAGAGGGAUGCGGAAUUCCAGGUGUAGCGGUGAAAUGCGUAGAUAUCUGGAGGAACACCGGUGGCGAAGGCGGCAUCCUGGACCGGCAUUGACGCUGAGGUGCGAAAGCGUGGGGAGCAAACAGG